This 2569-nucleotide long non-coding RNA is filed under the name Sus scrofa (pig). Its description in RNAcentral is "lncRNA (ENSSSCG00015009055.1)". The record is from RNAcentral. Lineage: Eukaryota; Metazoa; Chordata; Mammalia; Artiodactyla; Suidae.
CUUUUUAGGGUCAUACCCACAACAUAUGGAAGUUCCCAGACUAGUGGUUGAAUUGGAGCCCCAGCCCCAACAACAUGGGGUCUGAGCCUCUUCUGUGACCUACACCACAGCUUGCAGCAACUCCGGACCUGCAAGCCACCGAGGCCAAGGAUCAAACCUAUAUCCUCAUGGAUAUUAUUCUGUUUCUUAGCCUGCUGAGCCACAAUGGGAACUCCUAUUACAGGAGCUGCGGAAAGGUCCUAAGAGAAGCAGCAAGCCAGGAGAAGCCCAGGCAGCCUUGGAAUGCAGAGUCAGCAUCCCGAUGGGGGGGCUGAGGCUCAAGAGAUGCACAGACACAGUGAAGAAGUGGUCCAGGAGGGAGAAAUAGACAACACGAAAGCGAAGGCAGGAAAGUCCAAGCAAGUCCAAGUGUAUAGGGGUGAGGUGGGGGUUUGAUGGGGGAGAGGCUGGAGUGAGGAGGGGUCCUGCAGGGACAGGCUCCACUGAGACGAAGGACUCAGCCUCUGGGGAAAGUGGGUGCUGAGGAGACUCAGCCUCUGGGGAAAGUGGGUGCUGAGGUAUUUAAGCAGAAGAGCACAGUGAGAUUUGCAUUUUAGAAAGAUUGGCCUUGGAGUUCCUAGUGGUUAAGGACUCAGCUUGGUCACUGCUGUGGUCACUCCCUGGCUAGGAAGAUCCACAUGCUGCAGGCAUGGCUAAAUAAAGGAAAGAAAAAUUUAAAAAGAUUAGGCUUUCAAACAUGUUCCAUUUAUUUUUCCUCUUUGAAGGGGAAGACAGGAGAAUGUCAAUGAAAGAAUAAAAUUUAUUUCAUUUCACUAUUCAAAAAUAUUGUCAUUCAUAUAAAACAAAAAAAUAUAUUGUCAUUCAAACUGCAACAAGAUAACUGUUUUCCUAAAAGUUUCAGUAAGUUUGUAAAUGUGUAACAACAUUUGUUCACAAAAAAAACUCACACCAACCACAAGAUUUGUCAUAAAAACCAUGACUUAUAUGGUUAUAGUAAUCAACCGUCCUCCCUCCCCUCAAAAGGAAGGCACAUUUUCAAAAGUUACUGUCAGCAUCCAUCAAUUUAAGUUGUUUUUUUAAUAACAACAAAUUGCUGUUAAAUAACUCUUAAGGUUUCCACACUUGAGGACAGAAGCAGUGGCCCAGAGAGCAACUCAGAGUAAAGCCAAUAUCCACAACGCUUACAUUCCCUGCCUAAUACACACACACACACACACUCUCUCUCUCUCUCUCUCUCACACACACACACACGAUUGCUCUUCUGUUUGUGGUACUACUUAGGCAAAUAUGAAUAAUUCUACCUAUGCUUUAAUCAAAUUGCACACACUGCCUUCAUAAGCAGAGAGGAAAAACCCAAACAGGAGUAGUAAUAGCAGACUACUUGGGAAAGUUCCACAGGCAGCGAAACUGUUUGGGGAGCAAACCAUAUCAGGGAUCCGGAGGCAGUACCUCGGAGUUUCCGCUCAUCAGCCCACUCAGGACCCCGAGAGCCCUGCAAGGGAGCAACCCACUCUAGAGAUGAGGAAGUGAGGCUCCGCUGGGCUGGGCUGCCCAAGGCUAAGUGGUGAAGAACCGUGAUCUCCAAAGCCCAUCCCAAGCUCCCCCCGCCAAGAGGGCUCUCGGGCCAGGGGCCGGGCUGAGAGGUUCCAGCCGCUUCCCACCCUCGCCUGUGACUUGAGGCCCUUCUCCCCUCCAUUGCUCCGCAGUCGGCAGCAUUUCUGCAGCCCGAAGGUGAUCCCCUGCCCUCCCCAGAGAAGCGCCCGUCCAGACUGCCGCCCUGCCCAAACACCCCAGUCCUCCGGGGACCAUCCAACUGCAGGAAGUCCCUGCGUCUUGCCCUGGAAUUCCCGGUCCUCCUCUACUGGAUCCCGCCUUCCAUCACGUGACAGGAAGUCUCCACAGGAUCCAGACCAGCCCUGAUGCCCAAGCACCUUCAUCAUUCCCUUCCUGCACUGCCUUCCCUCCCACUGCUCAGAAUGGGAGCCCACACUCUCCAGACUCAAAUGCCUGGACCCCACUGCAGACCGAGGAGCCAGGACACCACGGUCGACAGGUGCUUUUUGAGGUCGCCCCACUACCCAGGUAGGAAGCGCUGUCCUAAAUCAAGGCCAGUCUUCCCACUUACUAAACCAGACGCAAACCCUAGGGAUUACAGGAGAUUGCCGCCCCCUCCCCCAUGUGCAAAGGACCACUCCCCUCUCGGAAAUCCAGCAGCCACACCUGUGUGUACCAACCCGUUGCAAAUUAACACCACUGCCUACUGUUAUUUAUAGUUGAAUAUAUUCACCCUGCCUCCCAGAUUACUUUCUUCUUGAGGGCAAGAAUUUGGUCUUAAUGUUUUUCUUCACAAACCGUGAACACAGCAGCCCUCCAACAAAUCAACAAUUUUUAAGAAAACAAACAUGGAAAUCUUCUUAUCUUUCUCCUAACCAGAGUCUGGAUGCACAGCAGGAAAAAAUGGGAAAUCUUGGGGCCAGCCCUGAGCCACUCAGAAUCAAGAAGGAGCGGGUAAAGCCCUAAGAAGUCAAGUCGCCAGACGAGAGUCCCGGCAGUUGGCGCUUUUUACCCC